UAGGGAAUCUUCGGCAAUGGGGGGAACCCUGACCGAGCAACGCCGCGUGAGUGAAGAAGGUUUUCGGAUCGUAAAGCUCUGUUGUUAAGGAAGAACGAGUGUGAGAAUGGAAAGUUCAUACUGUGACGGUACUUAACCAGAAAGGGACGGCUAACUACGUGCCAGCAGCCGCGGUAAUACGUAGGUCCCGAGCGUUGUCCGGAUUUAUUGGGCGUAAAGCGAGCGCAGGCGGUUAGAUAAGUCUGAAGUUAAAGGCAGUGGCUCAACCAUUGUAGGCUUUGGAAGCUGUUUAACUUGAGUGCAGAAGGGGAGAGUGGAAUUCCAUGUGUAGCGGUGAAAUGCGUAGAUAUAUGGAGGAACACCGGUGGCGAAAGCGGCUCUCUAGUCUGUAACUGUCGCUGAGGCUCGAAAGCGUGGGGAGCGAACAGG
Molecule: ribosomal RNA, 429 nt
Filed under: Bacteroidota bacterium
Lineage: Bacteria; Pseudomonadati; Bacteroidota
Description: Bacteroidetes bacterium partial 16S ribosomal RNA
Rfam family: Bacterial small subunit ribosomal RNA
Source: RNAcentral